RNAcentral lists this ribosomal RNA (467 nucleotides) under uncultured bacterium. Its description in RNAcentral is "bacterial SSU rRNA". It matches the Rfam family "Bacterial small subunit ribosomal RNA", at positions 917 to 1382 of the family's 1533-position model. The record is from RNAcentral.
GGGCCCGCACAAGCGGUGGAGCAUGUGGUUCAAUUCGACGCAACGCGAAGAACCUUACCUGGGCUCGAAGCGCAGUGGACCGGGGUAGAAAUAUCCCUUCCCCUUAAAAGGCUGCUGCGGAGGUGCUGCAUGGCUGUCGUCAGCUCGUGUCGUGAGAUGUUGGGUUAAGUCCCGCAACGAGCGCAACCCUUAUCCCUAGUUGCCAUCGGGUCAAGCCGGGCACUCUAGUGAAACUGCCUGGGAUAACCAGGAGGAAGGUGGGGAUGACGUCAAGUCCUCAUGGCCUUUAUGUCCAGGGCUACACACGUGCUACAAUGGUCGGUACAAACCGUCGCAAACCCGUGAGGGGGAGCUAAUCGGAAAAAGCCGGCCUCAGUUCGGAUUGGAGUCUGCAACUCGACUCCAUGAAGCUGGAAUCGCUAGUAAUCGCGGAUCAGAACGCCGCGGUGAAUACGUUCCCGGGCCUU